ACCUGGGGACAGCUCAGUCAGUAGAGCAUGAGACUCUCAAUCUCAGUGUCGUGAGUUCAAACCCCACGUUGGGCA
Molecule: non-coding RNA, 75 nt
Organism: Podarcis lilfordi (Lilford's wall lizard)
Lineage: Eukaryota; Metazoa; Chordata; Lepidosauria; Squamata; Lacertidae
Source: the annotation of a GenBank genome assembly